This 528-nucleotide ribosomal RNA is filed under the name uncultured bacterium. Its description in RNAcentral is "bacterial SSU rRNA". It matches the Rfam family "Bacterial small subunit ribosomal RNA", at positions 777 to 1304 of the family's 1533-position model. The record is from RNAcentral.
AAUAGAUACCCAGGUAGUCCACGCCGUAAACGAUGAGUGCUAAGUGUUAGAGGGUUUCCGCCCUUUAGUGCUGCAGCUAACGCAUUAAGCACUCCGCCUGGGGAGUACGGCCGCAAGGCUGAAACUCAAAGGAAUUGACGGGGGCCCGCACAAGCGGUGGAGCAUGUGGUUUAAUUCGAAGCAACGCGAAGAACCUUACCAGGUCUUGACAUCCUCUGCCAACCCUAGAGAUAGGGCGUUCCCCUUCGGGGGACAGAGUGACAGGUGGUGCAUGGUUGUCGUCAGCUCGUGUCGUGAGAUGUUGGGUUAAGUCCCGCAACGAGCGCAACCCUUGAUCUUAGUUGCCAGCAUUCAGUUGGGCACUCUAAGGUGACUGCCGGUGACAAACCGGAGGAAGUGGGGAUGACGUCAAAUCAUCAUGCCCCUUAUGACCUGGGCUACACACGUGCUACAAUGGAUGGUACAAAGAGCUGCGAACCCGCGAGGGUAAGCGAAUCUCAUAAAGCCAUUCUCAGUUCGGAUUGUAGG